GACGAACGCUGGCGGCGUGCUUAACACAUGCAAGUCGAACGGAAAGGCCCUGCUUUUGUGGGGUGCUCGAGUGGCGAACGGGUGAGUAACACGUGAGUAACCUGCCCUGGACUUUGGGAUAACUUCAGGAAACUGGGGCUAAUACCGGAUAGGAGCUCCUGCUGCAUGGUGGGGGUUGGAAAGUUUCGGCGGUUGGGGAUGGACUCGCGGCUUAUCAGCUUGUUGGUGGGGUAGUGGCUUACCAAGGCUUUGACGGGUAGCCGGCCUGAGAGGGUGACCGGCCACAUUGGGACUGAGAUACGGCCCAGACUCCUACGGGAGGCAGCAGUGGGGAAUAUUGCACAAUGGGCGGAAGCCUGAUGCAGCAACGCCGCGUGCGGGAUGACGGCCUUCGGGUUGUAAACCGCUUUCGCCUGUGACGAAGCGUGAGUGACGGUAAUGGGUAAAGAAGCACCGGCUAGCUACGUG
This 468-nucleotide ribosomal RNA is filed under the name uncultured bacterium. RNAcentral's name for it is "partial 16S ribosomal RNA". It matches the Rfam family "Bacterial small subunit ribosomal RNA", at positions 28 to 507 of the family's 1533-position model. The record is from RNAcentral.